Molecule: ribosomal RNA, 829 nt
Filed under: uncultured bacterium
Lineage: Bacteria
Description: bacterial SSU rRNA
Rfam family: Bacterial small subunit ribosomal RNA
Source: RNAcentral
UCGAACGCGAAGGAAGUCUUCGGACUUCUGGAGAGUGGCGCACGGGUGAGUAACACGUGGGUAAUCUGCCUUUGGGUGGGGAAUAACGGUCCGAAAGGGUCGCUAAUACCGCAUAACGCAGCGGCACCGCAUGGUGACAGUUGUUAAAGGGGGGGAUCGAAAGACCUCUCGCCUGAAGAGGAGCCCGCGUCCGAUUAGCUGGUUGGUGAGGUAAUGGCUCACCAAGGCAUCGUUCGGUAGCCGGCCUGAGAGGGCGGUCGGCCACACUGGCACUGAGACACGGGCCAGACUCCUACGGGAGGCAGCAGUGGGGAAUUUUGGGCAAUGGGCGCAAGCCUGACCCAGCAACGCCGCGUGAAGGAUGAAAUCCCUCUGGGAUGUAAACUUCGAAAGUCGGGAAAGAAAUCGCCAUGGAUAACACCCGUGGUGGAUGACGGUACCCGACGUAAGCCCCGGCUAACUACGUGCCAGCAGCCGCGGUAAUACGUAGGGGGCAAGCGUUGUUCGGAAUUACUGGGCGUAAAGGGCGCGUAGGCGGCAUGGCAAGUCGGGAGUGAAAGCCCGGGGCUCAACCCCGGAACUGCUUUCGAAACUGCCAAGCUAGAGUACGGAAGGGGCAACUGGAAUUCCCAGUGUAGCGGUGAAAUGCGUAGAUAUUGGGAAGAACACCGGAGGCGAAGGCGGGUUGCUGGGCCGAUACUGACGCUGAGGCGCGAAAGCCAGGGGAGCAAACGGGAUUAGAUACCCCGGUAGUCCUGGCCCUAAACGAUGGAUACUUGGUGUGUGGGGUUCUCAAAGUCCCCGCGUGCCGGAGCUAACGCGUUAAGUA